AUGGCGACCGGCGCACGGGUGCGUAACGCGUAUGCAACCUACCUGUAACAGGGGGAUAACACUGAGAAAUCGGUACUAAUACCGCAUAACACUAUGAGAGGCAUCUCUUGUGGUUGAAAGUUUCGGCGGUUACAGAUGGGCAUGCGUUGUAUUAGCUGGUUGGCAAGGUAACGGCUUACCAAGGCGACGAUACAUAGGGGACUGAGAGGUUAACCCCCCACAUUGGUACUGAGACACGGACCAAACUCCUACGGAAGGCAGCAG
Molecule: ribosomal RNA, 264 nt
Filed under: uncultured bacterium
Lineage: Bacteria
Description: partial 16S ribosomal RNA
Rfam family: Bacterial small subunit ribosomal RNA
Source: RNAcentral